UACGAAGGGGGCAAGCGUUACUCGGAAUUACUGGGCGUAAAGCGUGCGUAGGUGGUGAGUUAAGUCUGUCGUGAAAGCCCCGGGCUCAACCUGGGAAUGGCGAUGGAUACUGGCUCGCUAGAGUGCGGUAGAGGAGAGUGGAAUUCCCGGUGUAGCAGUGAAAUGCGUAGAGAUCGGGAGGAACAUCAGUUGCGAAGGCGGCUCUCUGGACCAGCACUGACACUGAGGCACGAAAGCGUGGGGAGCAAACAGG
RNAcentral lists this ribosomal RNA (253 nucleotides) under uncultured bacterium. Its description in RNAcentral is "partial 16S ribosomal RNA". It matches the Rfam family "Bacterial small subunit ribosomal RNA", at positions 524 to 776 of the family's 1533-position model. The record is from RNAcentral.